GUCUCUGUGGCGCAAUUGGUUAGCGCGUUCGGCUGUUAACUGAAAAGGUGGUGGUUCCAGCCAACCCAGGGACG
RNAcentral lists this transfer RNA (74 nucleotides) under Eurypyga helias (sunbittern). It matches the Rfam family "tRNA". Rfam says of the family: Transfer RNA (tRNA) molecules are approximately 80 nucleotides in length. Their secondary structure includes four short double-helical elements and three loops (D, anti-codon, and T loops). The record is from Rfam by way of RNAcentral. Lineage: Eukaryota; Metazoa; Chordata; Aves; Eurypygiformes; Eurypygidae.